RNAcentral lists this small RNA (325 nucleotides) under Pan troglodytes (chimpanzee). RNAcentral's name for it is "retained intron". Lineage: Eukaryota; Metazoa; Chordata; Mammalia; Primates; Hominidae. The record is from RNAcentral.
GCUGCACAGGCAGUUACUGCUGCACACCCAGCUCAUGGACCAGCUGCAGCAGCAGGAAGCUUGGGGCAAAGCGGUGGCUGAGAUGGCCCACCAAAAGUUGCAGGAGACCCAGGGGAGGGAGUUGCUGAGGAUGGGGCCCCGAGGGGGAUGACCUGGCAACCUCCGUGCCUUCUCACUCUGUUUCCCGUCCCCUUAGGAACCAGCUGCCAGCCACCAGAACCAACAGCCAGAGACCCAGCUAAGCCUCGUGGCUCUCCCUGGAGAAGGAGAUGGAGGAGAACAUCUGGACAGUGAGGAGGAGCAGGCGCCUCAGCCCAUGCCAAAC